Molecule: ribosomal RNA, 453 nt
Filed under: uncultured bacterium
Lineage: Bacteria
Description: bacterial SSU rRNA
Rfam family: Bacterial small subunit ribosomal RNA
Source: RNAcentral
UACGGGAGGCAGCAGUGGGGAAUAUUGCACAAUGGGCGCAAGCCUGAUGCAGCCAUGCCGCGUGUAUGAAGAAGGCCUUCGGGUUGUAAAGUACUUUCAGUCGUGAGGAAGGUGUUAAGGUUAAUAACCUUAGCAAUUGACGUUAGCGACAGAAGAAGCACCGGCUAACUCCGUGCCAGCAGCCGCGGUAAUACGGAGGGUGCGAGCGUUAAUCGGAAUUACUGAGCGUAAAGGGCACGCAGGCGGUUAAUUAAGUUGGAUGUGAAAUCCCCGGGCUUAACCUGGGAAUGGCAUUCAAGACUGGUUAGCUAGAGUCUUGUAGAGGGGGUAGAAUUCCAUGUGUAGCGGUGAAAUGCGUAGAGAUGUGGAGGAAUACCGGUGGCGAAGGCGGCCCCUGGACAAAGACUGACGCUCAUGUGCGAAAGCGUGGGGAGCAAACAGGGAUUAGAUACC